GGUGGAUGCCUUGGCAGUUAGAGGCGAUGAAGGACGUGUUAAUCUGCGAUAAGCGUUGGUAAGGUGAUAAAAACCGUCAUAGCCAACGAUUUCCGAAUGGGGAAACCCACUUAGCAUAAGCUAGGUAUCAUUAACUGAAUACAUAGGUUAAUGAGGCAAACCGGGAGAACUGAAACAUCUAAGUACCCCGAGGAAAAGAAAUCAACCGAGAUUUCGUUAGUAGCGGCGAGCGAACGCGAAUCAGCCCUUAAGCUUAUUGGGCGCUAGUGGAAUGUUCUGGAAAGGACAACGAUACAGGGUGAUAGUCCCGUACACUAAAGCAACCUUUAAGUGAAAUCGAGUAGGACGGAGCACGUGAAACUUUGUCUGAAUAUGGGGGGACCAUCCUCCAAGGCUAAAUACUACUGACUGACCGAUAGUGAACCAGUACCGUGAGGGAAAGGCGAAAAGAACCCCGGCGAGGGGAGUGAAACAGAACCUGAAACCGUGUACGUACAAGCAGUGGGAGCCUUCGUAAGAGGGUGACUGCGUACCUUUUGUAUAAUGGGUCAGCGACUUAUAUUCUGUAGCAAGGUUAACCGAUUAGGGGAGCCGUAGCGAAAGCGAGUGUUAACUGCGCGUUUAGUUGCUAGGUAUAGACCCGAAACCCGGUGAUCUAGCCAUGAGCAGGUUGAAGGUUGAGUAACAUCAACUGGAGGACCGAACCCACUAACUUUGAAAAGUUAGGGGAUGACCUGUGGCUGGGGGUGAAAGGCCAAUCAAACCGGGAGAUAGCUGGUUCUCCCCGAAAUCUAUUUAGGUAGAGCCUCGCACGAACACCAUUGGGGGUAGAGCACUGUUAAGGCUAGGGGGUCAUCCCGACUUACCAACCCUUUGCAAACUCCGAAUACCAAUGAGAACUAUCCGGGAGACACACGGCGGGUGCUAACGUCCGUCG
RNAcentral lists this ribosomal RNA (937 nucleotides) under Euplotes focardii. RNAcentral describes it as "partial Bacterial large subunit ribosomal RNA". It matches the Rfam family "Bacterial large subunit ribosomal RNA", at positions 23 to 1010 of the family's 2925-position model. The record is from RNAcentral. Lineage: Eukaryota; Ciliophora; Spirotrichea; Euplotida; Euplotidae.